This 84-nucleotide ribosomal RNA is filed under the name Escherichia coli. RNAcentral's name for it is "partial 16S ribosomal RNA". It matches the Rfam family "Bacterial small subunit ribosomal RNA", at positions 1 to 82 of the family's 1533-position model. Lineage: Bacteria; Pseudomonadati; Pseudomonadota; Gammaproteobacteria; Enterobacterales; Enterobacteriaceae. RNAcentral also lists the same sequence under 6 other names. The record is from RNAcentral.
UUAAAUUGAAGAGUUUGAUCAUGGCUCAGAUUGAACGCUGGCGGCAGGCCUAACACAUGCAAGUCGAACGGUAACAGAAAGCAG